Molecule: long non-coding RNA, 536 nt
Organism: Oncorhynchus tshawytscha (Chinook salmon)
Lineage: Eukaryota; Metazoa; Chordata; Actinopteri; Salmoniformes; Salmonidae
Exons: 3
Source: RefSeq, a predicted model, not a curated record
GAAAGCACACAAGCCGUGAUGAGUUCCAGCCAUCUCCUGUGAUUACCUCUAGUUAGCAUUCUUUGUUUUAGCCAAGGCCCGUGUGCGUCCUUCAGAAAUAACCACACAAACUCUUAGUUAACACAAUUGUUAAGCCAUACACUGUGCUGUGCUGUUACUGCUCUGUGAAUCAGCCAUUAAACAACCUCAACUGGAAUCAUACCAGUCUGUCAUCUGUGCUCUUACAAGCACCUGGGAGAGAACACAAUGCUAGGUAAAACCUAACCCUAAAUAAUAUACAGUCCACCAAGUCCUCAACUACCUCCAGGACCUAGGGGUUCUGCCUAACACCCAGACAUGGAUCCACCUGAUGUCCUCCAUUACCAACCACCCCCCAACUUUUCAUUACAUCAGCUACUGUUAUUGUCAAGUUGUCAUUAUCUGCUAAGAAAGAGCAAGAAAACUAUCAUACAGGGCACAUAAUGUGAGAUGCACAGAUUAGAUAAAAACAGUAGCACUGCAAACACUCAGAACAAAGACGGCAGCAGCACCUGGAC